CAGUGAUAAACUGGAGGAAGGUGGGGAUGACGUCAAGUCAUCAUGGCCCUUACGACCAGGGCUACACACGUGCUACAAUGGCGCAUACAAAGAGAAGCGACCUCGCGAGAGCAAGCGGACCUCAUAAAGUGCGUCGUAGUCCGGAUUGGAGUCUGCAACUCGACUCCAUGAAGUCGGAAUCGCUAGUAAUCGUGGAUCAGAAUGCCACGGUGAAUACGUUCCCGGGCCUUGUACACACCGCCCGUCACACCAUGGGAGUGGGUUGCAAAAGAAGUAGGUAGCUUAACCUUCGGGAGGGCGCUUACCACUUUGUGAUUCAUGACUGGGGUGAAGUCGU
RNAcentral lists this ribosomal RNA (337 nucleotides) under Salmonella enterica subsp. enterica serovar Agona. RNAcentral describes it as "bacterial SSU rRNA". It matches the Rfam family "Bacterial small subunit ribosomal RNA", at positions 1153 to 1489 of the family's 1533-position model. The record is from RNAcentral. Lineage: Bacteria; Pseudomonadati; Pseudomonadota; Gammaproteobacteria; Enterobacterales; Enterobacteriaceae.